GGAAGGGCAGCUUUCUCGUUUCCAGGACACUGUCCAGAGGAGUUAAACCAAUUUAGACAUUUCUUCCUCUAACGUCCUCUUGCCCUGACGGUGUGAGGAAGUGAGAGUUCAGGAGCUAGCAGAAUGCUUUAUCCAUCUGCAUGACCUUAUUCACUGAUCCGUCUGCAAUGGGUGACUCCUCUGAACAUCCCCACAGCUUUCCAAUUCUCCUGUGUGUGCAAUGGUCAUUUAGGGGAGACAGUCUGAGCUACAGCAAA
Camelus ferus (Wild Bactrian camel) is the source of this 257-nucleotide long non-coding RNA. It matches the Rfam family "SMAD5 antisense RNA 1 conserved region 1". NCBI's taxonomy places the organism in Eukaryota, Metazoa, Chordata, Mammalia, Artiodactyla, Camelidae. The record is from Rfam.